AUUGAACGCUGGCGGCAUGCCUUACACAUGCAAGUCGAACGGCAGCACGGGAGCUUGCUCCUGGUGGCGAGUGGCGAACGGGUGAGUAAUACAUCGGAACGUGCCCAGUAGUGGGGGAUAGCCCGGCGAAAGCCGGAUUAAUACCGCAUACGACCCACGGGGGAAAGGGGGGGACCGUAAGGCCCUGCGCGAUCUGACGGGCCGAGGUCUGGUUAGCUUGUUGGUGGGGUAAAAGCCCACCAGGGCGACGAUCAGUAGCUGGUCUGAGAGGACGAUCAGCCACACUGGGACUGAGACACGGCCCAGACUCCUACGGGAGGCAGCAGUGGGGAAUUUUGGACAAUGGGGGCAACCCUGAUCCAGCAAUGCCGCGUGUGCGAAGAAGGCCUUCGGGUUGUAAAGCACUUUUGUCAGGGAAGAAAUCUUUCAGGCUAAUACCCUUGGAAGGAUGACGGUACCUGAAGAAUAAGCACCGGCUAACUACGUGCCAGCCGCCGCGGUAA
Molecule: ribosomal RNA, 503 nt
Filed under: uncultured bacterium
Lineage: Bacteria
Description: partial 16S ribosomal RNA
Rfam family: Bacterial small subunit ribosomal RNA
Source: RNAcentral